This 381-nucleotide ribosomal RNA is filed under the name uncultured archaeon. RNAcentral's name for it is "bacterial SSU rRNA". It matches the Rfam family "Archaeal small subunit ribosomal RNA", at positions 345 to 727 of the family's 1478-position model. The record is from RNAcentral.
AAACUUUGCAAUGUGCGAAAGCACGACAAGGUUAAUCCGAGUGGUUUCUGCUAAAGGAACCUUUUGUUAGUUCUAAAAAUACUAACGAAUAAGGGGUGGGCAAGUUCUGGUGUCAGCCGCCGCGGUAAAACCAGCACCUCAAGUGGUCAGGAUGAUUAUUGGGCCUAAAGCAUCCGUAGCCUGUUCUGUAAGUUUUCGGUUAAAUCUGUACGCUCAACGUACAGGCUGCCGGAAAUACUGCAGAACUAGGGAGUGGGAGAGGUAGACGGUACUCGGGAGGAAGUGGUAAAAUGCUUUGAUCUCCCGAUGACCACCUGUGGCGAAGGCGGUCUACCAGAACACGUCCGACGGUGAGGGAUGAAAGCUGGGGGAGCAAACCGG